Molecule: non-coding RNA, 327 nt
Organism: Homo sapiens (human)
Lineage: Eukaryota; Metazoa; Chordata; Mammalia; Primates; Hominidae
Source: the annotation of a RefSeq genome assembly
GUUCCCUCUCUCAGCCUUUGCUUAUUCAGCUGCCCUCCCUCUCUGCACAUCUGAGAAAUGCUAUAAGACUUCCCUGUACCCCAAGUAGUGGCUGCAUUGUUGGAGGCUGUCACAUAUUCUUGUACCAGCAGAAGUCACGGAGCCUUCCCCAGUAUCUCCUGAGAUACUACUCAGACUCAAGUAAGCACCAGGACUCUGGGGUCCCCAGUCACUUCUGUGAAUCCAAAGAUCCCUCGGGCAAUGUGCAGGGAUUCUGCACAUUUCUGAGCAGCCUGAGAUCAAGUCCGACUAUUACUAUUUUACAUAUCACAGCAACAGUGGCACUUU